GGGUUGUGAGGUUAAGCGACUAAGCGUACACGGUGGAUGCCCUGGCAGUCAGAGGCGAUGAAGGACGUGCUAAUCUGCGAAAAGCGACGGCGAGGUGAUAUGAACCUUUGACCCGUCGAUGUCCGAAUGGGGAAACCCAGUGUGAUUCGUCACACUAUCGUUAACUGAAUACAUAGGUUAACGAGGCGAACCGGGGGAACUGAAACAUCUAAGUACCCCGAGGAAAAGAAAUCAACCGAGAUUCCCCCAGUAGCGGCGAGCGAACGGGGAGCAGCCCGGAGUCUGAAUCAGCUUGUGUGUUAGUGGAAGCGUCUGGAAAGUCGCACGGUACAGGGUGACAGUCCCGUACACGAAAAUGCACAGGUUGUGAACUCGAAGAGUAGGGCGGGACACGUGGUAUCCUGUCUGAAUAUGGGGGGACCAUCCUCCAAGGCUAAAUACUCCUGACUGACCGAUAGUGAACCAGUACCGUGAGGGAAAGGCGAAAAGAACCCCGGCGAGGGGAGUGAAAAAGAACCUGAAACCGUGUACGUACAAGCAGUGGGAGCACCUUCGUGGUGUGACUGCGUACCUUUUGUAUAAUGGGUCAGCGACUUAUAUUCUGUAGCAAGGUUAACCGUAUAGGGGAGCCGCAGGGAAACCGAGUCUUAACUGGGCGUUAAGUUGCAGGGUAUAGACCCGAAACCCGGUGAUCUAGCCAUGGGCAGGUUGAAGGUUGGGUAACACUAACUGGAGGACCGAACCGACUAAUGUUGAAAAAUUAGCGGAUGACCUGUGGCUGGGGGUGAAAGGCCAAUCAAACCGGGAGAUAGCUGGUUCUCCCCGAAAGCUAUUUAGGUAGCGCCUCGUGAACUCAUCUUCGGGGGUAGAGCACUGUUUCGGCUAGGGGGCCAUCCCGGCUUACCAACCCGAUGCAAACUACGAAUACCGAAGAAUGUUAUCACGGGAGACACACGGCGGGUGCUAACGUCCGUCGUGAAGAGGGAAACAACCCAGACCGCCAGCUAAGGUCCCAAAGUCAUGGUUAAGUGGGAAACGAUGUGGGAAGGCACAGACAGCCAGGAUGUUGGCUUAGAAGCAGCCAUCAUUUAAAGAAAGCGUAAUAGCUCACUGGUCGAGUCGGCCUGCGCGGAAGAUGUAACGGGGCUAAACCAUGCACCGAAGCUGCGGCAGCGACACUAUGUGUUGUUGGGUAGGGGAGCGUUCUGUAAGCCGUUGAAGGUGUGCUGUGAGGCAUGCUGGAGGUAUCAGAAGUGCGAAUGCUGACAUAAGUAACGAUAAAGCGGGUGAAAAGCCCGCUCGCCGGAAGACCAAGGGUUCCUGUCCAACGUUAAUCGGGGCAGGGUGAGUCGACCCCUAAGGCGAGGCCGAAAGGCGUAGUCGAUGGGAAACAGGUUAAUAUUCCUGUACUUGGUGUUACUGCGAAGGGGGGACGGAGAAGGCUAUGUCAGCCGGGCGACGGUUGUCCCGGUUUAAGCGUGUAGGUGUGUGUUCCAGGCAAAUCCGGUUCACUUUAACACUGAGGCGUGAUGACGAGGCACUACGGUGCUGAAGUGAUAAAUGCCCUGCUUCCAGGAAAAGCCUCUAAGCAUCAGGUAACACGAAAUCGUACCCCAAACCGACACAGGUGGUCAGGUAGAGAAUACCAAGGCGCUUGAGAGAACUCGGGUGAAGGAACUAGGCAAAAUGGUGCCGUAACUUCGGGAGAAGGCACGCUGAUAUGUAGGUGAAGUCCCUGCGGACGGAGCUGAAAUCAGUCGAAGAUACCAGCUGGCUGCAACUGUUUAUUAAAAACACAGCACUGUGCAAACACGAAAGUGGACGUAUACGGUGUGACGCCUGCCCGGUGCCGGAAGGUUAAUUGAUGGGGUUAGCGGCAACGCGAAGCUCUUGAUCGAAGCCCCGGUAAACGGCGGCCGUAACUAUAACGGUCCUAAGGUAGCGAAAUUCCUUGUCGGGUAAGUUCCGACCUGCACGAAUGGCGUAAUGAUGGCCAGGCUGUCUCCACCCGAGACUCAGUGAAAUUGAACUCGCUGUGAAGAUGCAGUGUACCCGCGGCAAGACGGAAAGACCCCGUGAACCUUUACUAUAGCUUGACACUGAACACUGGUCCUUGCUGUGUAGGAUAGGUGGGAGGCUUUGAAGCGUGGACGCCAGUCUGCGUGGAGCCGUCCUUGAAAUACCACCCUUUAAUGGCUAGUGUUCUAACGUAGACCCGUGAUCCGGGUUGCGGACAGUGUCUGGUGGGUAGUUUGACUGGGGCGGUCUCCUCCCAAAGAGUAACGGAGGAGCACGAAGGUUAGCUAAUCCUGGUCGGACAUCAGGAGGUUAGUGCAAUGGCAUAAGCUAGCUUGACUGCGAGAGUGACGGCUCGAGCAGGUGCGAAAGCAGGUCAUAGUGAUCCGGUGGUUCUGAAUGGAAGGGCCAUCGCUCAACGGAUAAAAGGUACUCCGGGGAUAACAGGCUGAUACCGCCCAAGAGUUCAUAUCGACGGCGGUGUUUGGCACCUCGAUGUCGGCUCAUCACAUCCUGGGGCUGAAGUAGGUCCCAAGGGUAUGGCUGUUCGCCAUUUAAAGUGGUACGCGAGCUGGGUUUAGAACGUCGUGAGACAGUUCGGUCCCUAUCUGCCGUGGGCGCUGGAGAAUUGAGGGGGGCUGCUCCUAGUACGAGAGGACCGGAGUGGACGCAUCACUGGUGUUCGGGUUGUCAUGCCAAUGGCACUGCCCGGUAGCUAAAUGCGGAAGAGAUAAGUGCUGAAAGCAUCUAAGCACGAAACUUGCCCCGAGAUGAGUUCUCCCUGAGACUAUAAGUCUCCUGAAGGAACGUUGAAGACGACGACGUUGAUAGGCCGGGUGUGUAAGCGCAGCGAUGCGUUGAGCUAACCGGUACUAAUGAACCGUGAGGCUUAACCUUACAACGCCGAAGCUGUU
Molecule: ribosomal RNA, 2930 nt
Filed under: Enterobacter bugandensis
Lineage: Bacteria; Pseudomonadati; Pseudomonadota; Gammaproteobacteria; Enterobacterales; Enterobacteriaceae
Description: bacterial LSU rRNA
Rfam family: Bacterial large subunit ribosomal RNA
Source: RNAcentral